Molecule: long non-coding RNA, 836 nt
Organism: Sinocyclocheilus grahami
Lineage: Eukaryota; Metazoa; Chordata; Actinopteri; Cypriniformes; Cyprinidae
Exons: 3
Source: RefSeq, a predicted model, not a curated record
CAAGGGAAGUCAUACUUGUUUUUUACCCAGUUCAAAGCUGAGAUAAAAGGAGCCAAGAUUGAAUAUGCCACUGCAUAUUCCCAGACGGCCGUGGGUGGACAGAGGGAUGUUGCUUUGAAGGAAGAAGAGUACAGUGUGUCAGAGUCUUCAGUGACCCACAGAGAAGGGACAUUCCAUUCCGAGCUUUCCAAGCUCACUGUCAUUGGUCGGACACGCCAUGAUGAACUCUGAUUGGCCCAUCCGAAAGAGGAUUGUCCCAUCACAUGAGGACAUUAAUUUGACAGCUAUGGACACUCUGGCUGCUCACUGUCACAAGUCAAGCAAAGGAAAUCAAACCACGGGAAGUUAUGAAAGAAAGAACUUCCUGUGAUAGAAAAUUCUACAGAGAUUUCCUUUAGAGGCAUCAUUACAUUAAGAACUGGACUGAUCAUCUAAGGGAGGUAGAUGAAAAGUCUAUUAUCAGACAAUGUACAUGCACAUUUAUUCAUAUUUGUGAGGUUAUAUGAAGGCUUCUUCAAAUUAAGUUCAGAGCAGAUUGAUUUCUAUUCCUGGCUGCAUUUAUGGGUUUAGGGUUUCAGCCUGACUUUGACUUCAUACCUGCAAAUCUGAUUAUCAUGAGUGCAUUCAUGCUCAUACUUACUUUCUUAAGCUGGUGUAAUGGCACGCUUGUAGAGAAUUUCCGCUAAAUCUUUGGGGUAUGUCAGAAUCCUUUGAUUAUUUCUGUUGUGAAGGAAAAGACAGAAAAACAGUUACUUGAGUUCCUUUUUUUUGCCCAAUUGUGGUUUAUUCUGAUAGCUAAUGUACUGGAAUUUUUAAUAAAUCUUUUCAGAACUGUU